RNAcentral lists this long non-coding RNA (755 nucleotides) under Sinocyclocheilus grahami. RNAcentral describes it as "lncRNA (ENSSGRG00000036562.1)". Lineage: Eukaryota; Metazoa; Chordata; Actinopteri; Cypriniformes; Cyprinidae. The record is from RNAcentral.
UUAUGAUCCAUUUUUGGCUUGUCACUGUUGAAUCCCUCUCUUUUAGGGCGAUGUUGAAUCUCAUGGAAACACAUGGACAUUUGGUGGAGGUGGACAAACUGCUGGCCAGAUCUUGGAUGUAUCUGAUGACUGUAGAUGAGUUGGUCAAGUGCAGCUCCAUCAUCCAUGCAGAACUCUUGGACAUCCUGCAGCUUUUCACCAUGAAAUGUCCCGAUGAUAUAUGCUACAGCACUUCCACCAGUGUAGCGGAUACUCUGGCAUACAUUCAAAGUAACUUGCUCGAACAACGAUACAGUUGUCCCAGUGAGGAUUAUGGCAUUCAGUGUGUACAAGCAACAUGUAAACUUCUAGAGAAGAUCUGCAAAAGAAUUCAUUACUACAGUCAUGCACAAAAUUUCACUGAUAUUCCUGUUGCUUGCAUGAACCUAGUGGCCUCCGUGUCAGGAUUUGCCCAGGUAUUCCAUUCUGCAAUUUUUGUUUUAAAUAGCUCAUUAAAGCCAGUAGAAUUGACUCCAUAUGUCUAAAUAUUUGUUCAACCUUAAGGCGAGACAACAAGCUGACACUUUUCCUGAGAAGACUCUUGUGUUACUCAAUGAGGCCAAGAAAUCUGUGAGGACAUGGAUCAGACAAACUUUCAAAGGCAGACUUUUAGACAGUAGCUAUAUGUCGGCUGUCAGCUUCACAAAAGAGAUUGAGGUAAACAGAACAAGUACAGUUGAGGUCAUAAGUUUAUAUAUGCAGUACUAAAUAAAAUA